Molecule: ribosomal RNA, 527 nt
Filed under: uncultured bacterium
Lineage: Bacteria
Description: bacterial SSU rRNA
Rfam family: Bacterial small subunit ribosomal RNA
Source: RNAcentral
CCGCCUACGGGAGGCAGCAGUGGGGAAUCUUGGACAAUGGGCGAAAGCCUGAUCCAGCCACGCCGCNUGAGUGAUGAAGGCCUUCGGGUUGUANAGCUCUGUGGGGAGGGACGAAAAAGGUGGUCAAGAUAACGGGCCACCCUUGACGGUACCUCCUUAGCAAGCACCGGCUAACUCUGUGCCAGCAGCCGCGGUAAGACAGAGGGUGCGAACGUUGCUCGGAAUCACUGGGCGUAAAGCGCGUGUAGGCGGACCAGCAAGUCAGGUGUGAAAUCCCUGGGCUCAACCUAGGAACUGCAUCUGAAACUGCUGGUCUUGAGUGUCGGAGAGGGAAGCGGAAUUCCUGGUGUAGAGGUGAAAUUCGUAGAUAUCAGGAGGAACACCGGUGGCGAAGGCGGCUUCCUGGACGACUACUGACGCUGAGACGCGAAAGCGUGGGGAGCAAACAGGAUUAGAUACCCUGGUAGUCCACGCCGUAAACGAUGAGUGCUAGAUGUCUCGGGUAUUGACCCNUGAGGUGUCGUAGC